Molecule: long non-coding RNA, 701 nt
Filed under: Medicago truncatula (barrel medic)
Lineage: Eukaryota; Viridiplantae; Streptophyta; Magnoliopsida; Fabales; Fabaceae
Description: long non-coding RNA (MTRU_LNC003445)
Source: RNAcentral
GAAAUCUCAUUAUGCGAUAACCUUAACUCUUGUAACAAUGAAAGAUUUUGGAGUUGUAAAGGGAUUGCUCCAAUUAGUUCAUUGUAGCUGAGAUCAAGGUGUUGUAAUUGUGAGAGAUUUCCAAGUUGGAAGGGAAUUGCUCCAAUGAGUUCAUUUUCGCUGAGAUCAAGGUGUUGCAAUUGUGAGAGAUUUCCAAGUUGGAAGGGAAUUGCUCCAAUGAGUUCAUUUCUGCUGAGAUCAAGGUGUUGCAAUUGUGAGAGAUUUCCAAGUUGGAAGGGAAUUCCUCCAAUGAGUUCAUUGUAGCUGAGAUCAAGAUGUUGCAAUUGUGAGAGAUUUCCAAGUUGGAAGGGAAUUGCUCCAAUGAGUUCAUUUUCGCCGAGAUCAAGGUGUUGCAAUUGUGAGAGAUUUCCAAGUUGGAAGGGAAUUGCUCCAAUGAGUUCAUUUCCGCCGAGAUCAAGGUGUUGCAAUUGUGAGAGAUUUCCAAGUUGGAAGGGAAUUCCUCCAAUGAGUUCAUUGUAGCUGAGAUCAAGAUGUUGCAAUUGUGAGAGAUUUCCAAGUUGGAAGGGAAUUGCUCCAAUGAGUUCAUUUUCGCCGAGAUCAAGGUGUUGCAAUUGUGAGAGAUUUCCAAGUUGGAAGGGAAUUGCUCCAAUGAGUUCAUUACCUCUGAGAUCAAGGUGUUGCAAUUGUGAGAGAUUUCCAAG